AGUUUCUCAGCAGGUGCAGAGCAAGAGAGGCGUCAAUGGUAAAUGCAGCCUAAGACAUCAGGUGCUGAGGACAUUCUUGCCUAGAAGCACAAGAAAGGAGGCAGACCUUCACCUAGAGAGAUGCUGAUGAAAGUCAACUAGGGGACAGGCAGGGUGCUGCAGGCACUGUGGGCUGAACAGCAUUCUGAUGGCCACAGCAGCACAAGCAGUAGCUGUCCCCUCUGCUGGCUCUUGGCCUGUGUCUCAUGCCUCUCUUCUUCCCACAGUCCCACACUGGCACAGCUUUCGCUCCAGGCGGGCAAGGAAGCAGGCUGGAAGACACCGAGAUGUGAAAUUUUGGACCAGCAGCACCCAGAAAGUGUCUCCCUAAUAGUUUGGAAUUGUGAGUCGGGUCUCCAUUCAGCUGGAAAGGAACAUUAUAUAAUCAUAGAAUCAUGGAAUCACCAAGGUUGCAAAUGACCUGCAAGAUCAUCACAUAGGGUAAUGAGAUGACUGAUAAAGAUUACAGAUUGAUUAAAUUAUUGCAAAACAAAAGCAAGGAAAAUAUCACCAGAAAUUAAUUUACAAAAAAAAUCAGUCUUUAAAUGUUCUCAAGCAACACUAAUUUAAUCUUUUCAUUGCUUUGAAGAAAUGAUGUUACAUGAAACUCAGAACACAUUUCAAUGACUUUUGAAACCCUAUAGAAACUUAAAUGACUUUCAAAUCAUGGCUCUUCCUACCUCUUUUUAUUUUUUUUUAGUAUCACUUGGGAGCAUGGUGGAUAGGUAGGUCUCUUCACCAGGAUAAGGUGUGAGUACUUUUUGUAUCUGGGAAGUAAAAAACCAAAAACCUAGAAAAAUCUAAUCCACAGACCUAGAUGCAUCAAAUAAUGAUGUGAAAUACUAAAUCUGACCCCCUGACAAGCAAACAUAUGCCAACAAUUAGUUCUAAGACAGGAAAAUUAAGCACAUUCUCUACGUUUGUGGGUUUUUGUGGCCUCUCUACUUUGUCUGUAAGAAACAUCACAAACAGGAGAGAAUUUAGAAGACUGUGUUUUAAGGUUGGAGAUACCUUAGGUAUAGUAUAGGUGAAUGUGUAAGCAAUAUAAAUUCAAGUGCUUAUAUUUAAACAUCUAACUUCAAAUGCCAAAUUGUUACCAGCUCCUUCAACAGAAAGAGCAGGGAUUCCUUCCACGUGCAGGUCUGGGAUUUCCUGCCCCAAUAAGUUCCUUGCCUGCUCCCUGCAGCUGGCUCUAUCCAAGGUGGCUGACUCCUAUCUCAAAGCCCAUUCUUUGCUUCCAAGAUGCUUCUUUUUUUU
RNAcentral lists this long non-coding RNA (1296 nucleotides) under Numida meleagris (helmeted guineafowl). RNAcentral's name for it is "lncRNA (ENSNMEG00000007818.1)". Lineage: Eukaryota; Metazoa; Chordata; Aves; Galliformes; Numididae. The record is from RNAcentral.